RNAcentral lists this long non-coding RNA (260 nucleotides) under Physcomitrium patens. RNAcentral describes it as "long non-coding RNA (PPAT_LNC014241)". Lineage: Eukaryota; Viridiplantae; Streptophyta; Bryopsida; Funariales; Funariaceae. The record is from RNAcentral.
GGUAGGUCUCUAAAUGUUAUAGAGAACCCCGAACAACCCAAACUUUUAAUCUUCAAUAUCGCUUUGUACUUACGAUCUUCUAUCCACUGACUGUCUUGUUAGAUUAACCCAAUAAAUUUCAUUCACUCCACAUACUCAAUCCUAUAGACACCCUUUUAAUCCUUCAAUCACAGACGUAACUCGAUUUCACAAAAUAGUCAAGAGUAAUCAAACCCACUUCAUUAAAAAAAUCCCGAUUCACCAUUACAACACUGACUUCA